Long non-coding RNA from Eriocheir sinensis (Chinese mitten crab), 369 nucleotides. RefSeq lists it as uncharacterized. The record is from RefSeq and is a predicted model, not a curated record. The transcript is spliced from 4 exons. NCBI's taxonomy places the organism in Eukaryota, Metazoa, Arthropoda, Malacostraca, Decapoda, Varunidae.
GGAAUAAAAUGGCUUACAGCAGACAUUUACAGCUACAUUCACAGAGCGCUGAGACCAGGCAAGAUGUCGGCUGCUAGGGCUGGGAGUAAGACACUGGGACAGCUGUACCGCCAGGGAUGGAACGAGAUCCCUGAGGUGAUGGCGUCCUCCUACAUGAUGCUGGCAGGCUUUGUGCUGGCAGGGGCAGGCUCUUACUUGUACAUCAAGAACGAAGGGGAGAGGAGGAGGUACCGUUUCGUCUACACUGUUUAUCGUCCAGAUGAUCCCAAAGUCAAGACGACAGUUCCCAGUGAUAUGUAGGGUGUUGCAGGCUUUUGUAUAAAUAAGUAAUGGAAUGUACAAAAAUUGUGUAAUGUACAGUAUACAUCA